Long non-coding RNA from Oreochromis niloticus (Nile tilapia), 580 nucleotides. RefSeq lists it as uncharacterized. The transcript has 5 exons. The record is from RefSeq and is a predicted model, not a curated record. Lineage: Eukaryota; Metazoa; Chordata; Actinopteri; Cichliformes; Cichlidae.
GGACAUCAUGCAAAGACUGCCAGACUCUGUAAUACUGUAAAUGAUCAGUGACUCAGGUUAACUCUAAACUUUAAACAGUCCCUCUGUGUCUCUGUGUGUGCUGAACAUCUAGGAUUGAGUCAGGCUGCAUUGACUGUGGGACUUUUCUCUGUUAAAAGCAGGUUGAAGACGGCUCAGAAACAUUUGAAGAUUAAAAUUUAGCAUUAUGGCUGCUGGUGGUACAGUACGUGAUAUUAAGGGCAGGCGGUCAUCACUGGGGGAAGACAAGAAGCAGACGUACUUCCAAGAGGGAGCUGCAGUGAGGACACAGCCUGGUCACUGAGGUCAGAGGAGGCGCUGAAAGGUUUCCCUAAUAGUUCCUGGUGAAUCAAAGCAGGACCAUAAAGGUUGCUGGACUACAUGAUGGCCUUACCCCUGAGAAGUCAUCCUGUUAAAGGAGGAACCAGUUAGAAGCUGUUUUCAAAGUAGCUGAGCAGAUUUCAUCUCAACAGACAAAGCCGAUGGCAGAAGAUGUUUGGAGAAGAACUUCAGGCCGUGGACUGAAAAGUAGAUCAAAGCAGCUCGUGCUCUGUCUGCUUCC